Molecule: ribosomal RNA, 463 nt
Filed under: uncultured bacterium
Lineage: Bacteria
Description: partial 16S ribosomal RNA
Rfam family: Bacterial small subunit ribosomal RNA
Source: RNAcentral
GACGAACGCUGGCGGCGUGCUUAACACAUGCAAGUCGAGCGGAAAGGCCACUUCGGUGGUACUCGAGCGGCGAACGGGGGAGUAACACGUGAGUAAUCUGCCCCUCACUUUGGGAUAGCCACCGGAAACGGUGAUUAAUACCGGAUAUGACCAUAUGUCGCAUGGCGUGUGGUGGAAAGUUUUUCGGUGAGGGAUGUGCUCGCGGCCUAUCAGCUUGAUGGUGAGGGAAUGGCUCCCCAUGGCUUCGACGGGUAGCCGGCCUGAGAGGGUGACCGGUCACACUGGGCCUGCGACACGGCCCAGACUCCAACGGGAGGCAGCAGUGGGGAAUAUUGGACAAUGGGCGGACGCCUGAUCCGACAACGCCGCGUGAGGGAUGACGGCCUUCGGGUUGUAAACCUCUUUCAGUACCGACGAAGCGCAAGUGACGGUAGGUACAGAAGAAGCACCGGCCAACUACGUG